GAUGAACGCUGGCGGCGUGCCUAAUACAUGCAAGUCGAGCGAACAGACGAGGAGCUUGCUCCUCUGACGUUAGCGACGGACGGGUGAGUAACACGUGGAUAACCUACCUAUAAGACUGGGAUAACUUCGGGAAACCGGAGCUAAUACCGGAUAAUAUAUUGAACCGCAUGGUUCAAUAGUGAAAGACGGUUUUGCUGUCACUUAUAGAUGGAUCCGCGCCGCAUUAGCUAGUUGGUAAGGUAACGGCUUACCAAGGCGACGAUGCGUAGCCGACCUGAGAGGGUGAUCGGCCACACUGGAACUGAGACACGGUCCAGACUCCUACGGGAGGCAGCAGUAGGGAAUCUUCCGCAAUGGGCGAAAGCCUGACGGAGCAACGCCGCGUGAGUGAUGAAGGUCUUCGGAUCGUAAAACUCUGUUAUUAGGGAAGAACAAAUGUGUAAGUAACUAUGCACGUCUUGACGGUACCUAAUCAGAAAGCCACGGCUAGCUACGUG
Molecule: ribosomal RNA, 497 nt
Filed under: uncultured bacterium
Lineage: Bacteria
Description: partial 16S ribosomal RNA
Rfam family: Bacterial small subunit ribosomal RNA
Source: RNAcentral